RNAcentral lists this ribosomal RNA (759 nucleotides) under uncultured bacterium. RNAcentral's name for it is "bacterial SSU rRNA". It matches the Rfam family "Bacterial small subunit ribosomal RNA", at positions 62 to 865 of the family's 1533-position model. The record is from RNAcentral.
UCGACGAAGCCUUCGGGCUUAGUGGCGGACGGGUGAGUAACGCGUGAGAAUCUCCCUUCAGGAUGGGGACAACCGUUGGAAACGACGGCUAAUCCCCAAUGUGCCGAGAGGUGAAAGGGUUUCCGCCUGAAGAAGAGCUCGCGUCCGAUUAGUUAGUUGGUGAGGUAAGAGCUCACCAAGGCAGCGAUCGGUAGCUGGUCUGAGGGGAUGAGCAGCCACACUGGGACUGAGACACGGCCCAGACUCCUACGGGAGGCAGCAGUGGGGAAUUUUCCGCAAUGGGCGAAAGCCUGACGGAGCAGCGCCGCGUGUGGGAAGAAGGCUCUUGGGCUGUCAACCACUUUUCUCAGGGAAGAAGAUCUGACGGUACCUGAGGAAUCAGCCUCGGCUAACUCCGUGCCAGCAGCCGCGGUAAUACGGAGGAGGCAAGCGUUAUCCGGAAUUAUUGGGCGUAAAGCGUCCGCAGGGGGCGCAUCAAGUCUGCUGUUAAAGGCUGGAGCUUAACUCCGGUAGAGCAGUGGAAACUGGUGCGCUAGAGGGCGACAGGGGUAGAGGGAAUUCCCAGUGUAGCGGUGAAAUGCGUAGAGAUUGGGAAGAACACCGGUGGCGAAAGCGCUCUACUGGGUCGCACCUGACCCUCAGGGACGAAAGCUAAGGUAGCGAAAGGGAUUAGAUACCCCUGUAGUCUUAGCCGUAAACGAUGGAUACUAGGGCGUGGCUUGUAUCGACCCAAGCCGCGCCGAAGCUAACGCGUUAAGU